Gorilla gorilla gorilla (western lowland gorilla) is the source of this 72-nucleotide microRNA precursor. Lineage: Eukaryota; Metazoa; Chordata; Mammalia; Primates; Hominidae. The record is from Ensembl.
GGCAACGGGAAUGCAGGCUGUAUCUGCAGGGCAUUGUGCUAACAGGUGCAGGCUGCAGACCUGUCACAGGCC